GGGAAACUGAGAAUAACACUCCAUAAGUCUAGGAUGCUGGAAUGCACUUAGGCUAAAAACUUCGGUGCCUAAGGAUGAGUCUGUGGACUAUCAGGUUGUAGUCAGGGUAAUGACCUGACUAGCCUAUGACGGAUACGGGUUGUGAGAGCAAUAACCCGGAGAUGAUAUCUGAGACACGAUAUCAGGCCCUACGGGGCGCAGCAGGCGCGAAAACUUCGCAAUGUGCGAAAGCACGACGAGGGAAUCCCAAGUGCUGGCUCGUUAGAGUCAGCUGUUUUUAUGUCUAAAAAGCAUAGAGAGUAAGUGCUGGGUAAGACGGGUGCCAGCCGCCGCGGUAAUACCUGCAGCACGAGUGGUGGCCACUAUUAUUGGGCCUAAAACGUCCGUAGCCUGUUUAUUAAAUGCCUAGGUAAAUUGUGUGGCUUAACCAUACGAAUUCUGGGUAGACUGAUAAACUUGAGACCGGGAGAAGCUAGAGGUACUCCUGGGGUAGAGGUGAAAUUCUGUAAUCCUAGGGGGACCACCAGUGGCGAAGGCGUCUAGCUAGAACGGGUUUGACGGUGAGGGACGAAGCCCCGGGGCGCAAACGGGAUUAGAUACCCCGGUAGUCCAGGGUGUAAACGCUGCUUGCUUGAUGUUGGUUUGGGCUCCGAGCCCAAUCAGUGUCGGAGAGAAGUUGUUAAGCAAGCUGCCUGGGAAGUACGAUCGCAAGACUGAAACUUAA
This 724-nucleotide ribosomal RNA is filed under the name uncultured archaeon. RNAcentral's name for it is "bacterial SSU rRNA". It matches the Rfam family "Archaeal small subunit ribosomal RNA", at positions 134 to 859 of the family's 1478-position model. The record is from RNAcentral.